GGAGAAAGUGCUCCUCAGCAUCAGAACAACCUCAGUAUGUGACCUCUGACCCCAACAUCAGCCCGUUUGUUUUCAGUAACCCCGAGUGAUCGGCCUGUGAGCCAGCGUGGACCCUAAAACACGUCGACAGAGCGGGUCAGUUUAGUUACUGGAAUGUAGAGCUGAGCGAUACGGGGAAAAGUUUAUCAGGAUAUAUUAUUUUCCUAUCAGCUGAUAUGGAUCAAUAUCAGGAUCUAAAAAUCUAACAGUGUUUCUUGGUCUCAUGUCUUUUCCAACACAAUAAUCUCCUGCAUCUGUGAGGUCUUUGUGUCUCUUUGGCGUUUUGUCGUAAGGCGUCGCUCUAGAGAAAGCCGACUGAAUGGUCGUCUGUUUCAGGCGCCAUGGGCUCCUCGCUCCUCUCGGGGUUUGUAACCUUUUGCGUUGCGCGUGCUCUGCGGCGUGGCGCUGCUUCAGGUGGUGAAAAAGAUUUGAGGUAUUCCCCGACUUUGUGAGAACAUGUACUCGACAUAAUUUACAGUCCACAUUACUCUGCUUCAUGUCCGACCUCCAAAAACCAAAAUACCUCCACACCACCGACGUUUUCCUAACGCCAGUGUUGUGGUUGACAUUGAUGUGGUCAUCUGUUGAGCCUUCAUGGUCAUUUCUGUCGGGGGUAGCACUCAUUUUCUUUGUUUCUCACCAACAGUGCUGUCGGCUUCACCUGUUAAAGUGCUAUGGUUGGGUGGAGCUGCUGUCUGCUACGACUUUGCUGCAGUUGGUUGAUACUUGGUUCUAAUUCAGAACAUGAUUGGUUCAGACCCGGAGAAACUCCCCUUUUCAUUGGCUGUUCGUAUAGUCGACCAAAACAUGUCAGAAUGACGACUAUUGAAAAGGAUAUUGAUCAUGUUUGAUAUCGAUAUUGAGGGAAAUUAAUUUUUGUUAUACAUCGUUAUCGUUUUAU
Molecule: non-coding RNA, 940 nt
Organism: Xyrichtys novacula (pearly razorfish)
Lineage: Eukaryota; Metazoa; Chordata; Actinopteri; Labriformes; Labridae
Source: the annotation of a GenBank genome assembly